This 1462-nucleotide ribosomal RNA is filed under the name uncultured bacterium. Its description in RNAcentral is "bacterial SSU rRNA". It matches the Rfam family "Bacterial small subunit ribosomal RNA". The record is from RNAcentral.
CUGGCUCAGGAUGAACGCUAGCUACAGGCUUAACACAUGCAAGUCGAGGGGCAGCAUGGUCUUAGCUUGCUAAGGCCGAUGGCGACCGGCGCACGGGUGAGUAACACGUAUCCAACCUGCCGUCUACUCUUGGACAGCCUUCUGAAAGGAAGAUUAAUACAAGAUGGCAUCAUGAGUCCGCAUGUUCACAUGAUUAAAGGUAUUCCGGUAGACGAUGGGGAUGCGUUCCAUUAGAUAGUAGGCGGGGUAACGGCCCACCUAGUCUUCGAUGGAUAGGGGUUCUGAGAGGAAGGUCCCCCACAUUGGAACUGAGACACGGUCCAAACUCCUACGGGAGGCAGCAGUGAGGAAUAUUGGUCAAUGGGCGAGAGCCUGAACCAGCCAAGUAGCGUGAAGGAUGACUGCCCUAUGGGUUGUAAACUUCUUUUAUAAAGGAAUAAAGUCGGGUAUGCAUACCCGUUUGCAUGUACUUUAUGAAUAAGGAUCGGCUAACUCCGUGCCAGCAGCCGCGGUAAUACGGAGGAUCCGAGCGUUAUCCGGAUUUAUUGGGUUUAAAGGGAGCGUAGAUGGAUGUUUAAGUCAGUUGUGAAAGUUUGCGGCUCAACCGUAAAAUUGCAGUUGAUACUGGAUAUCUUGAGUGCAGUUGAGGCAGGCGGAAUUCGUGGUGUAGCGGUGAAAUGCUUAGAUAUCACGAAGAACUCCGAUUGCGAAGGCAGCCUGCUAAGCUGCAACUGACAUUGAGGCUCGAAAGUGUGGGUAUCAAACAGGAUUAGAUACCCUGGUAGUCCACACGGUAAACGAUGAAUACUCGCUGUUUGCGAUAUACUGCAAGCGGCCAAGCGAAAGCGUUAAGUAUUCCACCUGGGGAGUACGCCGGCAACGGUGAAACUCAAAGGAAUUGACGGGGGCCCGCACAAGCGGAGGAACAUGUGGUUUAAUUCGAUGAUACGCGAGGAACCUUACCCGGGCUUAAAUUGCAGAUGAAUUACGGUGAAAGCCGUAAGCCGCAAGGCAUCUGUGAAGGUGCUGCAUGGUUGUCGUCAGCUCGUGCCGUGAGGUGUCGGCUUAAGUGCCAUAACGAGCGCAACCCUUGUUGUCAGUUACUAACAGGUUCCGCUGAGGACUCUGACAAGACUGCCAUCGUAAGAUGUGAGGAAGGUGGGGAUGACGUCAAAUCAGCACGGCCCUUACGUCCGGGGCUACACACGUGUUACAAUGGGGGGUACAGAGGGCCGCUACCACGCGAGUGGAUGCCAAUCCCCAAAACCUCUCUCAGUUCGGACUGGAGUCUGCAACCCGACUCCACGAAGCUGGAUUCGCUAGUAAUCGCGCAUCAGCCACGGCGCGGUGAAUACGUUCCCGGGCCUUGUACACACCGCCCGUCAAGCCAUGGGAGCCGGGGGUACCUGAAGUGCGUAACCGCGAGGAGCGCCCUAGGGUAAAACUGGUGACUGGGGCUAAG